GUAAAGUCAGUAGUUCUUGGAGUCUUUUGUCUCAUUAAUGUGGUUCCAGGAAUUGAAAGUUGGAAAAAUAUUCUAUUGUUUAAAUAUUUCUGGCAUCUACAAUUUUCCUUCCAUUUUCAUUAGUGUCUUAGCAACACAGGCUUGCUCUGCCAUGCUGCCUCUCCCAAAUCAGGCUUGUUAGAAAUCCCGUGGAUUAUGCCACGGGAAGGUCUUCAGAUCUCACCAAAAUCUCACUGAGGCCCUUCUGUAAGGACUGCAUCUUGUUCAGGACUCUCAGACCAGCCAGUUAUGUGUCCCAGCUGACUGCAACGGCAGCCUUUCUAAUUGCUGUUACUAAAUAUAUAGGACACCCUGUAUGAUACAAGUAACACAUCUUCAUCACCAUGGUGACCAGGCAACUUCUGCCUCCAAACACAUUCCUUUGCAGCAUAUGUCUACCAAGGACUGAAGAGAGCCAGUGAAGCUGUGGGCCUGGCAAAGGGGGAUCCCAACUAAUUUCUGGUUCUAAGAACUGAGUGGCCUGUGCUCUGCUCUUUGUACAUGCCAAUUUUCGGCAAAACCAAACUCACAAAUUUCUAUCACUUAAAACUGGUUCAGGAAAAAAGCAUUCAAGAGAAGGAGACUCUUAAGGUGACAGCUGGGAAUCGGCUACAUCAGAGGAUGCAGGAUUCACCAGGUCAUCCAGAAGAUGCAGACUCAGUGCUGACAGAACCAAUACCAGAAGCACCCACAGGAAUCCCUUUUGGGGGAGGGUCCCUUCAAGAAUGGACCUAAAAAAAAAUGUACGUGCCUCAAGGGAGCCUCUUCCUUCUAAGGACAUUGUAGGAACCAUUUACCUUCCACUUACAAAUGGAGCAGCGCCAGACGAAAUGAGAGUGUGGAUCUGCUCACCCAUUUCCCACCUCUGAGCUGUGCCUGUCGGUGCAAAGAUGCCGGCCUCCCACCUUCCCUCACUGGCCACAUGAAGGAGGAUGGACAGCAUGUGUGUGCACUUGGAUUUCUGAACUGUUGCUGCUGAGACGUAUCCCAGGGACUCAGCAGCCUGUGGAGAAGGCGGCCACGCAUCCCAGUUUGCCAGGGACAAGCCGUGUGUGUAUAUCUGCUGUCUUAGAAUGAUUUUAAAAGGCCGCUUCACUCUCAGAAGUGUCCUGUCACUUGAUAAGAUAGGUGAUAAAAUCCUUUACGCAACAGAAUCUUGUGUCUCACUGCUGACAGUCC
Long non-coding RNA from Bos taurus (domestic cattle), 1218 nucleotides. The record is from Ensembl. NCBI's taxonomy places the organism in Eukaryota, Metazoa, Chordata, Mammalia, Artiodactyla, Bovidae.